Long non-coding RNA from Biomphalaria glabrata, 3924 nucleotides. RefSeq lists it as uncharacterized. The transcript has 2 exons. The record is from RefSeq and is a predicted model, not a curated record. Lineage: Eukaryota; Metazoa; Mollusca; Gastropoda; Planorbidae.
GCUUCACAAGUGGGUGAAAGGCGGUGUAAACGCGUCACUGGUCAGCUCAUUAAUGAACACAGCCAGCCCGUAACGUCAUGCGAUCAGAAUGCCUAGUUACUCUGUUCAUUCAAGCGAAGCAAAACAUAGCAUUGACCGGAAGUUAAUUUUUGUGAUAACUUUUUUUUUUCUCAUGUAGGCCUAGACUCUAGAGAUAGACAUAUUGUUUGAGACACGGAAAAAGUUUGACCUAGAUCUAGAUCUAGACCUACUUUGAGUGGAAGCAGACGUGUUGUUAUUGAUGAUCCUGGAUACAAAUAUUUCUUGUUCAAUCAUCUACUUUUUUGGAUAAUUUAAUGUGAUUCAACUAUUGGAUAUUCCUUACAACUUGGAUUAUUGAAAUAGCACGGAUUAUUGGAGCAGAUUGGAUUAUUUAUUACUCAAAGAGUUGACAGUUGGAUGGCUGCCUGGUCGUGCUGUUUGCAUGCUGGACUGUUAUUUUGAUUUAUUGAAGGUCUUUCGUUCAAACCCUGCCCAGUCCCAUCCCCCAUUGUCCUGCAGGAGGUUUGAACUAGGAAGUAAACUAUCUUCAACUGUGAAGGAACAUCCAAAACAUAUAAAACAAACAAACAGACAGAAACAAAUAUUGAAUCUACAUUGCUCUACAUCUUCCCAGCAGGUCACUAUGAUGCAAGUACUUUAACACUUUUACAACUUUCAUGGGUUCUAUAGUCUUUGUUCAACUUGAUUUUUUAAAUUUUUUCUUUUAUGUGUUCUAACAUUCAAAAUUUAAAUAGUGCCAUUCAUAAUUUAGCAUAUAUUUAAACAUUUACAUAUUAUUUUUUAAAGAUAUUAAUAAUAAUAAUCUUUAUUAUCCAUAAGGAGAUUAGUCUUACAAUUUGUGCAUUACACCAAACAAAACAUUCUAACUAUAGAAAAUCAAUUUAUAUAUUUACAACAGACUCACUCAUAAUUUAAUAAUGAAUAUAUAUAUAUCUCAACUGUCAAGAAAUAUUUAAGAUAUCUAUAAAUAAGAAUGUUUACUCCUUUAAAAACAAGAGUAUUAAAUCUAAAAAUAAUAAUACCCAUCCCUUAUGAUUUGUAUUUAAUAUAUUAUUUUUUUAAUUAUCUAUUUAACAAUAUCUUUUAAUGAUGUUACAUGUGCUUGUACUAGAGAUGGGAAAUGAAUCGAACCUGAACCAAACAAAUUGAACUCAAACCUCACUUACAACUGAACUGAACCCGAACUUUAAGACUGAUCGGUCUGAACUGAACUUAACCAACUGUCCUUACCUUCACCGAACUGAAUCAAAGAUUUUUGCAAUAUUUUUUAGUAAGAAAAGAUAAAAACUUAGUAUCAGUGAGAGGAUUGGACAGUUAUUUUUAAUUUUUGGAUAACUCAGCUGGAUCAUUUUGGGUUGUCUUCUUUUGAUUCACAGCCAAUGUACUGUAACAUUUAACAUUUGUGCUUUAAUGAAAUGGGAGAAUCGAAGAAACUAAAAGUAGACUCAGAAUGUAGAAACUACCAAGAAAAGUGGACAGAUCUUUGUCUUUUUAUUGAGUAUGAAAAUAAGUCAAUAUUUUUUAUUGGUAUAUAAAUGUUUGUAGCUUUUUUUAAAGAACACAACAUUAACAGCAUUAUCAUAUAAAAAAACAACAACAAAUAUUGCAGCAUUCUUAGUUUGAGCCACAAAGAAAAAAAUUGCUAAGAAACAUCUAGAAAUCAGAAGAUUGUUUUAUCUAAUUAUUAACUGAAUUAAACAUUAUUACAUAUACCUAAUUUUGCUAUUACCAUACUGCUUCAUCUUGGCGUCUCAUCAAUACAGUGUGAUAUUUAAAAGUUGGUUUUGGAUAAACAUCCUACAUCCCAUGAAUAAGUGUAAAUAUUAUAUUCAUGUGGGAGGUGCUGUGACUAGGUGGUAAAGAGCUUGACUUGCGAUCCAAGGGGGUCCCAGGUUUGAAUCCUGCAUCUUAAGGUGGUAGUCUCUGAGUUCACCAAGCUCUAUUGGGUACCUGACAUUAGUUUGGGAAAAGUAAAGGCGGUUGGUCAUUGUGAUGGUUACAUAACACCCUCGAUAACCGUUGACCACAGAAAUAGAUGACCUUUACAACAUCUGCCCUAUAGAUCAUAAGGUCUGAAAGGGAACAUUUUUUAAACUAUGUCCACAGGUUUAUAAUAAAAGUGCUUUAUUUUUAUUUGAUGUUUUUUUAAAAUCUUUUCUGUUAUUUGGCCCGCGAAAUGAGUGUUGGAAAUUAAAAAGGCCCACUGGCUGAAUAAGGUUUCACAUAGCUGUUUUAUCUAAUCAUUAAUUUAAUUAAACAUCAUUACAUGUACCUAAUUUUACUAUUACCUAAUUUCAUAACAUCAAACCGAACCCGAACUUUAGACCUGACUGAACCAAUCUGAACUAUCCUUAUCAUCAUACCGAACCGAACCCAAACUUACAUCUGACAGAAUGGAACCAGAACUUUAAAAGUUAGGUUCGAUUCCCAUCUCUAGUUUGUACAUGUGGAUGUUUGAUUGUAUUAAAAAAACUAUGUAAUUUUAUGAAUGUGAUAGAAAAAUACCAGAAUGAAAUAAUUAAUUUUAAUGUUUAUAAAAAAAAACCACUGUAAAAUAUAUGCUUUAAAAUUAGUGAGUUUUAAAGGCCUUUCUUUUCUUCACUUUCUUAUCAUAAAAUGAAAAUAGUAUUAUAAACAAAAAGCACAGCUGUUCAUCAAACAUGAUUAUAUAAUGCUGAUUUGAAAGUUGGCUAAAUGAGGUUAAUAAUAGCUUUAAUGAUACUUAGAAACAUUUUAAUGAAACACACAGGGUUAAAGAUUGCUAAAUAGACUAAGACAAUUACAAGAAAGGUUGACAAAGUAGAUAAUUAUGUUAACCUGAUUUAAUAAAGUAUCCCUAAUAUAGUAAUUAAAUAAAGUAAAAAAAGUUUUAAAGAUCCUGCCAGCAUGUGGUUUGCACUCUAGAAGGUAGUUUGAUGGGUCACAGGGUUGAACCCUGCCCAAUGACAUCCCCCACCAGACUUCUGGAGUUUUGGGCUAGGAUGUAAUAAUCUACAAAUUUGAAGGAACAUUCCAAACAUGUAAAAAAACAAACAAUAAUCAUUACACCUGUGCUACACUGUACUGGACAAGUAUUCAUUUAUAGUGGCUUAGAUUCUGGAUUUUACCCAUUCACAUAAUUAUUGAUACAUGUCCUAUAGUGACCGCUACCAAGGGACUCCACAUAUCCUGAUUAGAGAUUAUAAACUAGUUGAUUCAUUCUAUAGAGUGUAUUUCUUCUACAAGUUAUCCAGACAGUCCUUGUUUCACUUUGUGUAGCCUGUCAACUCUUUAAAGCUAAGUUCUACAAGUUAUCCAGUCAGACCCCCAUCACAUCAAAAACUAUUGUUACGAGCAUCUGAGACUCUUAAGUAUACACCAAAUAGAGCCAUCAAUAGAAUUUUAAUCUUGUUCAACAAAUAAUAAUAUGUUACAUCUCGUUUACAUUACUCCAUUUUUUGAUCCAUCUCUUAUCUUUCCUAUUUCAACACACAUUUGUACCAUUUCACUUUCACACUAUUAUGCGCAUGUAACAUCUUGGAUAACCAACAUUUUGUUUAGUAGUGCAGAAAAAUUGAGAAGAACAGAUCAGCAACAAAAAACUGACUAGAUGCCAAAGAAUAAAUUGUUUUUAAUAUUAUGUUCUAAACUAUCAUGAAUUGUAUAUAAACUUAAAUGGAGUUCUAUUUAUAUCUUUUGAUAUUUUUUUUCACAUCAUUUUCUUGAAGAUAAUGAUUGCUUGGAUACACCAGGUGUCCUCCCAUGUUCUAUACAUUUGUGUUUUAACAUAAAUUUUAAAAAAUCUUUUCAUUACAACAAUAAUAGAAAAAAAGUUGUUACAUAGUGCAGAAAAUAUUUAUCUUGAACUAAUUCUAAUAAAGUUUGUUUUUUUCCUUUGCUUAA